RNAcentral lists this transfer RNA (72 nucleotides) under Perca flavescens (yellow perch). It matches the Rfam family "tRNA". Rfam says of the family: Transfer RNA (tRNA) molecules are approximately 80 nucleotides in length. The record is from Rfam by way of RNAcentral. Lineage: Eukaryota; Metazoa; Chordata; Actinopteri; Perciformes; Percidae.
UCCCUGGUAGUCUAGUGGUUAGGAUUCAGUGCUCUCACUGCCGCGGCCAGGGUUCGAUUCCCGGUCAGGGAA